Sardina pilchardus (European sardine) is the source of this 715-nucleotide long non-coding RNA. RefSeq lists it as uncharacterized. NCBI's taxonomy places the organism in Eukaryota, Metazoa, Chordata, Actinopteri, Clupeiformes, Clupeidae. The transcript is spliced from 4 exons. The record is from RefSeq and is a predicted model, not a curated record.
UCCCGGGUAAAGUCGGUCUGUCCUGAUUGCACUACUUGCUAAUUGAUGACGUCUAGAAGCCAUAGCUGCUUCCCUCAACGUGGCAGCCCUCACAAAUAAACUGAUACCAGGAAUUAACAUACAGUAGAUGGUGAUGGUGGUGGUGGCAAGGGUGCCUUCACAAGGUGCCAUGUCACAAUCUCAGUGUGGAGCCAAAGGCUGCUAUUGCAAGUCAGAUGGGGGACGAUCGAUGUAAGGCAUCAGAAAGGUGGUGUACGUACAAAGGCUGGAGCUGCUGGAGACAGUGUUGCACUUAGAUACUUGAUUUACUGCCGAAGGUACCAUCAGAGCACCACCCUACCCCUGCAGGACCAGAAGAGGACGGACAGGGGGCCAACAUUUUUUAACACUCUGACCAUGGACUAUUUAAACCAUUGAGGUAACACAGACGUCUGAUCCCACUUGGCUAAAACAGAAGACUGAGGAGUAGUUUCUUUCCUCAUGCCAUUCGCAUCCUGAGCACACAUACUACAUUACAUGGACUUGCCAUACUGCACUUACACACUGCACUAUUUACCCCCUGACUCAUUCCGUGUCAAAUCAGACAAGGUUAUGCUGCACCGUCUCAGGCCUGUACAAUAUUUUUUUGUUCAAUCCUAUGUCUUCAUAUUAUAAUGUUUGUAUGGCCUGCUCAAUGAUUUUCAUUGAAAAGUGUUCAUUAAAAGUUCAAAUGGUA